AUUGAACGCUGGCGGAAUGCUUUACACAUGCAAGUCGAAUGGCAGCACGGACUUCGGUCUGGUGGCGAGUGGCGAACGGGUGAGUAAUGUAUCGGAACGUGCCCAGUCGUGGGGGAUAACGUAGUGAAAAUUACGCUAAUACCGCACACGAUCUAUGGAUGAAAGCGGGGGAUCGCAAGACCUCGCGCGAUUGGAGCGGCCGAUAUCAGAUUAGGUAGUUGGUGGGGUAAAGGCCCACCAAGCCAACGAUCUGUAGCUGGUCUGAGAGGACGACCAGCCAACCUGGAACUGAGACACGGUCCAGACUCCUACGGGAGGCAGCAGUGGGGAAUUUUGGGCAAUGGGCGAAAGCCUGAUCCCGCCAUUCCGCGUGCAGGAUGAAGGCCCUCGGGUUGUAAACUGCUUUUGUACAGAACGAAAAGGUUUCUACUAAUACUAGGAGCUCAUGACGGUACUGUAAGAGUAAGCACCGGCUAACUACGUGCCAGCCGCCGCCGUAA
This 500-nucleotide ribosomal RNA is filed under the name uncultured bacterium. RNAcentral describes it as "partial 16S ribosomal RNA". It matches the Rfam family "Bacterial small subunit ribosomal RNA", at positions 30 to 523 of the family's 1533-position model. The record is from RNAcentral.